AGCCAGGCCAGCGGCCGCCGAGGGUGCCCGCCCAGGCUACCCGCCCUCCCGGCCGCGGCGCGGACGGACCGACGGACGGCGCUGCGAGCAGGAGGCGUCCGGCCAUGUUCAGCCGGAGCUCCCGGAAAAGACUCUCCAGCCGCUCGGUGAGUGUCCCCCGCUCGAGCGGGGCCGAUCGCCGGGCACCUCCAGCCGGCCGCGAGCGCCCGCGCGCAGCCCCACUGCGCCCCGCGGCUGCGCACCUGUGGCCCCAGUUGACCGGACUGGGGCGGAUAGAGCGAGGCCAGCCAUGUAACGCCUGUGGUGACCAGUGCCCUGGGUUCGCCUUGCAUAAAUGGAGGAAGAUCUGCCUGCACUGCAAGUGUCCCCAGGAGGAGCACAUGGUGACAGUGAUGCCGCUGGAGAUGGAGAAGACCAUCAGCAAACUCAUGUUUGACUUUCAGAGGAACUCGACCUCAGACGAUGACUCAGGCUGUGCUUUGGAAGAGUAUGCCUGGGUCCCACCGGGUCUGAAGCCUGAACAGAGACUGAAAUGUUC
RNAcentral lists this small RNA (538 nucleotides) under Pan troglodytes (chimpanzee). RNAcentral describes it as "processed transcript". Lineage: Eukaryota; Metazoa; Chordata; Mammalia; Primates; Hominidae. The record is from RNAcentral.